UGCAAGUCGAGCGAACAGACAAGGAGCUUGCUCCUUUGACGUUAGCGGCGGACGGGUGAGUAACACGUGGGUAACCUACCUAUAAGACUGGGAUAACUUCGGGAAACCGGAGCUAAUACCGGAUAAUAUUUCGAACCGCAUGGUUCGAUAGUGAAAGAUGGUUUUGCUAUCACUUAUAGAUGGACCCGCGCCGUAUUAGCUAGUUGGUAAGGUAACGGCUUACCAAGGCGACGAUACGUAGCCGACCUGAGAGGGUGAUCGGCCACACUGGAACUGAGACACGGUCCAGACUCCUACGGGAGGCAGCAGUAGGGAAUCUUCCGCAAUGGGCGAAAGCCUGACGGAGCAACGCCGCGUGAGUGAUGAAGGUCUUCGGAUCGUAAAACUCUGUUAUUAGGGAAGAACAUACGUGUAAGUAACUAUGCACGUCUUGACGGUACCUAAUCAGAAAGCCACGGCUAACUACGUGCCAGCAGCCGCGGUAAUACGUAGGUGGCAAGCGUUAUCCGGAAUUAUUGGGCGUAAAGCGCGCGUAGGCGGUUUUUUAAGUCUGAUGUGAAAGCCCACGGCUCAACCGUGGAGGGUCAUUGGAAACUGUAAAACUUGAGUGCAGAAGAGGAAAGUGGAAUUCCAUGUGUAGCGGUGAAAUGCGCAGAGAUAUGGAGGAACACCAGUGGCGAAGGCGACUUUCUGGUCUGUAACUGACGCUG
RNAcentral lists this ribosomal RNA (710 nucleotides) under Staphylococcus haemolyticus. RNAcentral describes it as "bacterial SSU rRNA". It matches the Rfam family "Bacterial small subunit ribosomal RNA", at positions 56 to 748 of the family's 1533-position model. Lineage: Bacteria; Bacillati; Bacillota; Bacilli; Caryophanales; Staphylococcaceae. The record is from RNAcentral.